Sapajus apella (tufted capuchin) is the source of this 211-nucleotide long non-coding RNA. RefSeq lists it as uncharacterized. NCBI's taxonomy places the organism in Eukaryota, Metazoa, Chordata, Mammalia, Primates, Cebidae. The transcript has 2 exons. The record is from RefSeq and is a predicted model, not a curated record.
UAUCAUAAGGCCAAUUAAAUAAUCAUAAAUACAAACAACAGAGGUCAUUAAAAAUUAUAAUAAUGUUCAUUGACAUAAAAAAAAUUUCUAAGUGGCGGAGCACGGUGGCUCAUGCCUAUAAUCCCAGCACUUUGGGAGGCCAAGGCAGGCAAUCACUUGGGGCCAGUAGUUUGACACCAGCCUGGCCAACAUGGCAAAACCCCGUCUCUAC